GCAAGUCGAACGAGACCUUCGGGUCUAGUGGCGCACGGGUGCGUAACGCGUGGGAAUCUACCCUUAGGUACGGAAUAACUCAGAGAAAUUUGUGCUAAUACCGUAUGAUGUCGCAAGACCAAAGAUUUAUCGCCUAGGGAUGAGCCCGCGUAAGAUUAGCUUGUUGGUGAGGUAAAAGCUCACCAAGGCGACGAUCUUUAGCUGGUCUGAGAGGAUGAUC
This 220-nucleotide ribosomal RNA is filed under the name uncultured bacterium. Its description in RNAcentral is "partial 16S ribosomal RNA". It matches the Rfam family "Bacterial small subunit ribosomal RNA", at positions 57 to 305 of the family's 1533-position model. The record is from RNAcentral.